GUCCAUCGUCUCGCCAUAUGUGUUACAAAUAUAUAGGCCUAAAAUGUGUAUGUAAAGUUAGGUUGGCUACGUACCAACCAGCUAGCAUGCAUGGCAGAAUAAGAGCCGUUUGGUUCGAUAAUGCCUGGGGGCUGGGAUCCAUAGGUAAGUAACCCUCAAGCUCCAGGGUUGUAAGGUACCUGCUUCAUCAUGUAAGUCGCUCCGACGUAUACAUGCUGUGCUAUAAAGGAAACCAAGCAUGCAUUGUUUUUUAUGGAACACUGGAGUGAUAUUUGCGACAAAACUGUGACUGUGAGAGAAAACAAAUGCGAAGAAGGAUUUUUUUCGAUCUUUCUUUUCUUUGAGUCAGACUCUUUGGUUUAAUUUUACUAGCUAAUUGCACAUAUGUUGCAACGGGGUAUACAUAUUUUAGUGGUUCAACAUCAGUUUUGUCCGACACAUACCUUACACGCAUCAUAUUCUAAAUUUUGAAAAGAUUUAAUUUGAUUUAAGUACGGGUAGGGGAAGGUAAAUAUUGUGAAGAGAAAAACGGGCAAGGAGGUGAGGCGAACCGGUAGGAACAAACGUCUGCAAUAAAUGGGGAUUGAACGGAGUGGAAGCGAUGCAAAAAAAAAAA
Molecule: long non-coding RNA, 616 nt
Filed under: Triticum aestivum (bread wheat)
Lineage: Eukaryota; Viridiplantae; Streptophyta; Magnoliopsida; Poales; Poaceae
Description: long non-coding RNA (TAES_LNC009697)
Source: RNAcentral